GUGUAACCGUUACAUUAAUUAACUUGCAACUUUCUUCAUGGAUUCACGUCCUCACGGAUUGUCAGAUUCUUCCUUUAUAUCACUAGGGGGUCCAUCAAUCUUAUCAUCGUUAUCUCUUCACCUCAUUUCUCUGUUUUUUUUUCUCUCUCAACCUCUAAGAUUACUUGAGAUGGAUUUUCGCCUUCAAUUAUUUGGUGAUCGCCGGAGGGGUCCGGUGUCUGAUCUUGAAUUCAAUUUAUCAUGCGUGUUUGUGUUUCUAUUUGGCUGGUUGCUUCGUUUGUUUCGAUCUUAAAUUAAAACGAUUUUUGAUUUUUGGGCUUUAGCAUUUGAAAGUCUCUUCCCUAUAUAUGUGAUUUUAUUUGUGAAUCAGUGGCUGUUUUUACCCACCCAACAUAUGUCUGGAUUGGACCUAACGCUUCCUUCCUUGUUGAACCAAACUCCAUUUCUUCGGAUGAUAUGAUGGGUCAAGUAUUUGCUUCAUUGGUUCCAACGGUGGCAGCUGUUUGUCCAAAGCGUGGAAAAUUUGUAUGGUUAUGAAUCUGGUGUUCAGCUGUUUGGGUUCUAUAUAUCUCCUCGUGUUGGUGUAGCGAAUUGAUCUGAAUCUCGUUUGCUGUCUCUCUCACAUGGAUCUUACAAGGGUUGGCCAUACUAUCUGAACCGAGGAGGUUUGUUGAAUAUUUCAUAUAAUGUUAAACCUGAAGGCUGUUCAGUUCGGCUUGUGGUCGAUAAAGUAAUGGCCACUCGCUGGUUGUGGGAGGAACCUCCAAUUGACCUGACCGCUCUCUCAUUGAAUCUGAUUCAGGGGAGUGGUGUGAUUCAACUGAACAUAAGUAAUUCUGAAAGGUGGAACUGGAUAUUGAUGUGAAGGCUGUCGUGUAUGAUACUAAAGAACCACCAUUCUACAAGUGUAACUUCAGCAACAGCGCGUGCACAUUCAAUACAAUGCCUUUUGUUGGAACUUCUAUUGUUUUAACUUCACCAGCACAUCGACAGGUAUGUAUUCUCUAUGAACCACACUAACAAUUUUUUUUUAUAUAUUAUUCUCAGUCUCAGCUGAAUGAAUCCUCAUCUCUCACUGUCUCUGAGUUCAAGGAGUAUUAUCUGGAGGACAAGAAUGGUUCAUCAGAAUCUCCUAUCAAGCUAGAUGCACUUCAUAUGCCAUCGUCACAGGUCUCGUGAUUUGCUUCAUUAUGCUAGCUAUAAAACUAAAUAACUGGUUACAGCAUCAUGGGGGAAGAGAGAUAUGUAAUGGAUGGAAAAAUGCAACAUUUGUAGAGGACUUUCCUAAAAUAACUCUGAGGGUGAUUCUGAAGGCGAUUUUAGGGUUAAGGAUUUCAAGGUGGUGACGGCUGCUCGGCUCGCUUAAUGGCGACGUUGAAGACGAAGGAUUCUCCUCCGAUGGUGACGGAUGGGAUUACAAGUCAGGGAACGAAGUCUGGGAACAAAUCGUACGUCAAGGCGGUUCAGCAAAAACAUGUUUUGGAGAGUAUCAUGAGGUGAAAGUAGAGGUCGUGGAGGGGACAGAGAUGGUAGAGAUACCAGAUGAUCUCCUUGUUAACACAGUUCCUUUGUCGGCGGAUUUUCUAGAGUGGAGAUUUCUAGAUCCUGCUUCUCAUGUGGCAAGGAUUCAUAUUAUUGUUAACAAGAUAUGGCCAUUGGGGAACAAAACAUUAAGAUUGAUGUUUUUGCGGUUAAUGAAAAAAUGUUGAAGUUUCAGAUCACUGAUCAACAAACAAGGAGUCGUAUUUUGAGGCGAGGCGUGUGGAAUAUAACGGGCAUUCCAAUGAUCCUGUCUAAGUGAGCGCCAUUGGAAGAGAAAAAGGAGGAAGAAGUUGAGAUUAAGACUACGUGGGUAACAAUGAAGAAUGUGCCACCUACUAUGUUUUCAUGGAAGGGACUAGGAUUCAUCGCUCAGUUGGGAAGCCUGUAUGACUGCAUCCUGACACAGAGCUCUGUACCAUUUUCGAGGAGGCUAAGGUCUUUGUCAAUGCAAACAUGACAAAACCACUUCCCCAUGCAUACAGAUUCCGCUCUAAGUCUGGAAUAAAUGCGAACAUUGAGUUUACCUACCCAUGGGUUCCUACAAAAUGUUCUCUUUGUGAAAAUUGGGGAUAUAACGAGGGAGAGUGCUCAAAAAAGAAAGAAGAUGUAAUGGAGAGAAGUGUGGAACAAAAAAAGGGAAGCAUUACCAAUUCACAAGAGAAUGUGAAACGGGUAUCUUCAAAUGAGUCGGAGAUAGUGAAUGGGAAGAUAAUGGAAGAAGCAGUUAAAGAAGGGGUUGACUCGGCUGAUACCGUGGAAGUAUCUGGAGCAGAGACUUCAGCUAUGUGAUAUUACGUGUAUACGCACACUAAUUAACCUAAUGUGCACACUACCACAAUCGAAUGGUAUGUCGAUGUAGCACUUUAGGACCGAAUCCACA
Brassica oleracea var. oleracea is the source of this 2422-nucleotide RNA transcript. RefSeq lists it as uncharacterized. The record is from RefSeq and is a predicted model, not a curated record. The transcript has 7 exons. NCBI's taxonomy places the organism in Eukaryota, Viridiplantae, Streptophyta, Magnoliopsida, Brassicales, Brassicaceae.